AAUGAUCUCUAUGCAGCGAAGGAAUUUCAUGACUUCUCUUUUUGCCAGUGGUACAUUGCCUGUGGGAGGACCAGGAGGAGAAACUUCUUACUCCAGAGACAACCAGGCCAGAGACAACUCUAUUAGCACAAAGCACAUUCCAGCACAUGCCAAGGGCUUUUUCAGUGAAUACAGGGUGGAGAGGACACAGCCUUCCCACCAGAGAGCCAGCCAACACUUCAAGAGCUUCCUCUGCCAGUUCUGUAUCAGCCAUGGGCUGUGGGCUCAGGACUUCUAAAAAAAGACGAAGACAUGAAGACAAUCAAGCAAACAAGACUGGCAGUGCCCAGCAAAAGGCUGAUGAGCUAUGAUGCAGUGUAGGAAAACUACAGAGCAAGUUUGAGUGAUGACUUUAACCAAGUCUAUCUUUGACCUUUACUCGGUCUUUCUAAUUAUUGUGAUUUUCUUUUGCUUUAUUGUGGUUUUUCAAAAUGUGUCUGCACUUUAAAAAUGCUCUCCUUGCUUCAGUAGAAAGACUCAAAACAAACAAGCAAAAAAACUAAGCCAAAAGUACAACCCCAAAGCUGGAAACUGCACAUUAGGAGUAGGAAUGGCCAAACUCUUACUCCCAGCCCUGUGUUCAGAAGGGAGGAAGCAAACAAAGGCUGUGCUUCUGUGGCACUGCCAACACAGGCAGAGGCUGUCAGUGCCCACCCAGAGCCAGGCUGCCACUGAGCCCGUGUCCCCUGGGAGCUGCUGAAGUGCUGGGCACAGCCAGGCUGCCUUACUGCAGGAAAGGGCUCAUGUUGAAGGGAAACACAAACUUCUUUCAAACCAGCAUUUCUGCAUCAGCUAUUAAAAAAAAAAAUAUAUAUAGAAAGUUUUUACUACUUUGUUCAGAGGUAAAACACAGAUGGGGACUGAAAAAGCAUUUUUGGUUUCUUUGGUGGAACAUUGCUUUAUGAUGUGAUAGCAGCACCUGCCAAAGAGGCUAUCACUUGUGUGUAGAAGUGAGCUG
This 997-nucleotide long non-coding RNA is filed under the name Chloebia gouldiae (Gouldian finch). RNAcentral's name for it is "Erythrura gouldiae (Gouldian finch) lncRNA (ENSEGOG00005014066.1)". The record is from RNAcentral. Lineage: Eukaryota; Metazoa; Chordata; Aves; Passeriformes; Passeridae.